This is a non-coding RNA of Pogona vitticeps (central bearded dragon), 1655 nucleotides long. The record is from RefSeq and is a predicted model, not a curated record. NCBI's taxonomy places the organism in Eukaryota, Metazoa, Chordata, Lepidosauria, Squamata, Agamidae.
UGAGGGGAGGCCGAGGCUCCUCUGCGCAUGCGUGCUUCGGGGAGGCGGUGCCGCCGCCAAACGCCUCAGGGCUCCCAAAAGGCGGGAAGAGCGCGCGCGCGUGGGCGCUCUGAGGCGUUUGGCGGCACCACCUCCCUGAAGCGAAUGGAGGGAGGGAGGCUGCCCCUCUGCUCCUCUCUUGACGCGCGUCGAAAGAAAGGAAUGGGCCCGGGCUCGGUGUUUUUUUUCCUCCCCCUCAGCCGCUGAGGGGAGCCGGGGCGAAAGUCGGAGGAAGCGGCCGUUGUUUUCGCCGCCGCUGCCACCUCAAGGGCAGGCUGAGGGGAACGGAAAGAUUUAUCCGUUCUCGAUACUAUACUUGAUUUCGUGGAGCAAUUUGAUUGAUUUUACUCUGAUUUGCAUGAAGUUCUGACAGUUUUAAAUUGAAACAGACCACCUUGUUAUUUGCUGCAAAAUGGAGACCCUAAUCAGUUUUUCAAGAGAAGGACUGAGUGGUAGACCAUCUGAGCCUCACUAAUGAAGCUUUCGGUAAAAGAGGGUGACACAAACAUAUACACAUUUAGCAACUGUAGAAGGACUAAGCGACCCUAAAGCAAUUUGUGCAGAGAAGACAAUGCCUGGUGUUUACAACAUUGCAACAUGAUUCUAUUCAAACCUCAUCUUACAACUUUACUGCUACAAAAUCAUAGUUUAAGUUUUGAAAUUGAAAUCAAGACAUGAGCCAGUAAAAGUCUGAGUUGAUGUAAAAAGCUCUAAAUGAUGGCAAUUCUCAUGGUGGCACAAAAGACACAAGUACAGAACUAUCCAUUAAUCUAGGCCUUAUCUUUCUUAAAUUAUCAGUGUAGGCCAGUGCCUGGCAUCAAAUCUACAUUAUGGACUUCAUAGAGUUGGAAACUGUUCCAUAGGUCAUGUAUUUCAGUUCUGUGUUUCAGACAAGAUAUGACAACUGUAUUUCUGAGAGAUAUCUCAGCUGAGCCUUUGCUUAAAUACCUAUAGUAUAAUACAGUCCAUCACCUCUGGCAGGCUGUUCUACUGUCAAACAUCCCUGAUUGGGAAGAAGUUUCCCCUAAUGUCCAGCCAAAAUUUGCCUCUUUAUAAUUUUAUUGGUUUGACUUUUGCCAUCUGAGGGUAAUGAAAGACUGAAUUGGUUCUCCAUAUUCUAUAGGACUCUGGAUUCCUAGGGGAAAAGAUCGCCUCUGGAUUCCUAGGGGAAAAGAUCACCUCUUCUCUAGACUAAAGAUACUCAGCUCUUUGAACCUGUUUCCUUGUGGAAUUAGGUUUCAUCACCAUACUUGCUGCUCACCCCUGGACAUGCUCCAGUUUUUCUGUAUCUGUCUUAAAAUGUGCAGCCAGAAUUGGAUAUAGCACUCCAAAUAUAGAUGGACACAGAAUAGAGCGAAACUAUCACGCUGCAUAAUGUUGUCUAAGGGUGCUUUAGAUUUUUUUCUGCAAAUACAUCAAACUACCUCUCCCAUUCUGUACCUGUACUGUUGUUUUGAACCUAAAUACAAGACUCUAACUCUAUUGACUUUUUCAGUUUUGUUAGUUUCAGCUCAGUCUUCGAGCCUUUCAUGAUAAUCUUGCUUAAUGUUGUUAUCUACAAUACUGACUUAAUGUCAUCCACAAACUGACUAAGCAUCCUGUCUAUGUCCUCUUUU